Molecule: ribosomal RNA, 490 nt
Filed under: uncultured bacterium
Lineage: Bacteria
Description: bacterial SSU rRNA
Rfam family: Bacterial small subunit ribosomal RNA
Source: RNAcentral
AAAGGAAUAGACGGGAGCCCGCACAAGCAGUGGAGUAUGUGGUUUAAUUCGACGCAACGCGAAGAACCUUACCAGAGCUUGACAUCCUACUGAAAACCUGGGUAAUGCCGGGUCCUCCUUCGGGACAGUAGAGACAGGUGGUGCAUGGUUGUCGUCAGCUCGUGUCGUGAGAUGUUGGGUUAAGUCCCGCAACGAGCGCAACCCUUACGGUCAGUUGCUACGCAAGAGCACUCUGGCCGGACUGCCGUUGACAAAACGGAGGAAGGUGGGGACGACGUCAAAUCAUCAUGCCCCUUACGCCCUGGGCUACACACGUACUACAAUGGCGCAAACAAAGGGAAGCGAAGCCGCGAGGCGGAGCAAAUCCCAAAAAAGGCGUCCCAGUUCGGAUUGUAGGCUGCAACCCGCCUAUAUGAAGUCGGAAUUGCUAGUAAUCGCGGAUCAGCAUGCCGCGGUGAAUACGUUCCCGGGCUUUGUACACACCGCCCGU